Molecule: ribosomal RNA, 298 nt
Filed under: uncultured Limnohabitans sp.
Lineage: Bacteria; Pseudomonadati; Pseudomonadota; Betaproteobacteria; Burkholderiales; Comamonadaceae
Description: partial 16S ribosomal RNA
Rfam family: Bacterial small subunit ribosomal RNA
Source: RNAcentral
CUCGGAGUUUGAUCCUGGCUCAGAUUGAACGCUGGCGAAAUGCUUUACACAUGCAAGUCGAACGGUAGAGGGGGCAACCCCUCGAGAGUGGCGAACGGGUGAGUAAUAUAUCGGAACGUGCCCAGUCGUGGGGGAUAACGUAGUGAAAAUUACGCUAAUACCGCAUACGAUCUAAGGAUGAAAGCGGGGGACUCGCAAGAGCCUCGCGCGAUUGGAGCGGCCGAUAUCAGAUUAGGUAGUUGGUGAGGUAAAGGCUCACCAAGCCGACGAUCUGUAGCUGGUCUGAGAGGACGACCAG